RNAcentral lists this ribosomal RNA (426 nucleotides) under beta proteobacterium SCGC AAA027-A20. Its description in RNAcentral is "bacterial SSU rRNA". It matches the Rfam family "Bacterial small subunit ribosomal RNA", at positions 365 to 783 of the family's 1533-position model. The record is from RNAcentral. Lineage: Bacteria; Pseudomonadati; Pseudomonadota; Betaproteobacteria.
UGGACAAUGGACGCAAGUCUGAUCCAGCCAUUCCGCGUGCAGGAUGAAGGCCCUCGGGUUGUAAACUGCUUUUGUACGGAACGAAAAGGUUUCCAUUAAUACUGGGAGCUCAUGACGGUACCGUAAGAAUAAGCACCGGCUAACUACGUGCCAGCAGCCGCGGUAAUACGUAGGGUGCAAGCGUUAAUCGGAAUUACUGGGCGUAAAGCGUGCGCAGGCGGUUAUGUAAGACAGAGGUGAAAUCCCCGGGCUCAACCUGGGAACUGCCUUUGUGACUGCAUAGCUAGAGUACGGUAGAGGGGGAUGGAAUUCCGCGUGUAGCAGUGAAAUGCGUAGAUAUGCGGAGGAACACCGAUGGCGAAGGCAAUCCCCUGGACCUGUACUGACGCUCAUGCACGAAAGCGUGGGGAGCAAACAGGAUUAGAU